This 479-nucleotide ribosomal RNA is filed under the name uncultured bacterium. RNAcentral describes it as "SSU rRNA". It matches the Rfam family "Bacterial small subunit ribosomal RNA", at positions 26 to 518 of the family's 1533-position model. The record is from RNAcentral.
AGAACGAACGCUGGCGGCAUGCCUAACACAUGCAAGUCGAACGCUUCCGGGGCUUCGGUCGCGGAGGAGUGGCGCACGGGUGAGUAGCGCGUGGGAACCUGCCCUGUUGUGGGGGAUAACCGAGGGAAACUUCGGCUAAUACCGCAUACGCCCCGGGACUUGGUCUUCGGAUUAGGUCUGGGGGGAAAGAUUGAUCGCAGCAGGAGGGGCCCGCGUCGGAUUAGCUGGUUGGUGGGGUAACGGCUCACCAAGGCGAUGAUCCGUAGCUGGUCUGAGAGGAUGAUCAGCCACACUGGGACUGAGACACGGCCCAGACUCCUACGGGAGGCAGCAGUGGGGAAUAUUGGACAAUGGGGGCAACCCCGAUCCAGCAAUGCCGCGUGAGUGAUGAAGGCCUUAGGGUUGUAAAGCUCUUUCGCCCGCGACGAUGAUGACGGUAGCGGGAGAAGAAGCCCGGCUAACUUCGUGCCAGCAGCCGC